RNAcentral lists this ribosomal RNA (443 nucleotides) under uncultured bacterium. RNAcentral describes it as "partial 16S ribosomal RNA". It matches the Rfam family "Bacterial small subunit ribosomal RNA", at positions 338 to 795 of the family's 1533-position model. The record is from RNAcentral.
CCUACGGGUGGCAGCAGUGGGGGAUAUUGGACAAUGGGGUGAACCCUGAUCCAGCGACGCCGCGUGAGUGAAGAAGUAUCUCGGUAUGUAAAGCUCUGUUAGCAGGGAAGAAAGAAAUGACGGUACCUGACCAAGAAGCCCCGGCUAACUACGUGCCAGCAGCCGCGGGAAUACGGAGGGGGCAAGCGUUAUACGGAAUUACUGGGUGUAAAGGGAGCGUAGACGGUUAAGUAAGUCUGGAGUGAAAGGCCGGGGCCCAACCCCGGGACUGCUCUGGAAACUAUUGAACUUGAGUGCAGGAGAGGUAAGCGGAAUGCGUGGUGUAGCGGUGAAAUGCGUAGAUAUCAGGAGGAACACCAGUGGCGAAGGCAGCUUACUGGACUGUAACUGACGUUGAGGCUCGAAAGCGUGGGGAGCAAACAGGAUUAGAUACCCGUGUAGUC